Molecule: non-coding RNA, 70 nt
Organism: Rattus norvegicus (Norway rat)
Lineage: Eukaryota; Metazoa; Chordata; Mammalia; Rodentia; Muridae
Source: Rfam
GGGGAUUUAGCUCAGUGGUAGAGCGCUUGCCUAGCAAGCACAAGGCCCUGGGUUCGGUCCUCAGCUCCCA